Molecule: ribosomal RNA, 1304 nt
Filed under: metagenome
Description: bacterial LSU rRNA
Rfam family: Bacterial large subunit ribosomal RNA
Source: RNAcentral
AAAAAAAGCUUCUAGCGAUAAGUAUACACUACCCGUACCGCAAACCGACACAGGUAGUCGAGGCGGGUAGCCUCAGGUGAGCGAGAGAACUCUCGUUAAGGAACUCGGCAAAAUGACCCCGUAACUUCGGGAGAAGGGGUGCUGACUUUUAGUCAGCCGCAGUGAAUAGGCCCAAGCAACUGUUUAUCAAAAACACAGCUCUCUGCUAAAUCGUAAGAUGAUGUAUAGGGGGUGACGCCUGCCCGGUGCUGGAAGGUUAAGAGGAGGGUUUAGCGUAAGCGAAGAUCUGAAUUGAAGCCCCAGUAAACGGCGGCCGUAACAAUAACGGUCCUAAGGUAGCGAAAUUCCUUGUCGGGUAAGUUCCGACCCGCACGAAAGGCGUAAUGAUUUGGGCACUGUCUCAACGAGAGACUCGGUGAAAUUUUAGUACCUGUGAAGAUGCAGGUUACCCGCGACAGGACGGAAAGACCCCCUGGAGCUUUACUGCAGUUUGAUAUUGAGUAUCUGUACCACAUGUACAGGAUAGGUAGGAGCCUAUGAAAUCGGGACGCCAGUUUCGAUUGAGGCGCUGUUGGGAUACUACCCUUGUGUUAUGGCUACUCUAACCCGGUAGGUUAAUCAUCUACGGAGACAGUGUCUGACGGGCAGUUUGACUGGGGCGGUCGCCUCCUAAGAGGUAACGGAGGCGCCCAAAGGUUCCCUCAGAAUGGUUGGAAAUCAUUCGCAGAGUGUAAAGGUAUAAGGGAGCUUGACUGCGAGAGCUACAACUCGAGCAGGGACGAAAGUCGGGCUUAGUGAUCCGGUGGUUCCGUAUGGAAGGGCCAUCGCUCAACGGAUAAAAGCUACCCUGGGGAUAACAGGCUUAUCUCCCCCAAGAGUUCACAUCGACGGGGAGGUUUGGCACCUCGAUGUCGGCUCGUCGCAUCCUGGGGCUGUAGUCGGUCCCAAGGGUUGGGCUGUUCGCCCAUUAAAGCGGCACGCGAGCUGGGUUCAGAACGUCGUGAGACAGUUCGGUCCCUAUCCGUCGCGGGCGUAGGAAAUUUGAGAGGAUCUGCUCCUAGUACGAGAGGACCAGAGUGGACUUACCGCUGGUGUACCAGUUGUCUCGCCAGAGGCAUCGCUGGGUAGCUAUGUAGGGAAGGGAUAAACGCUGAAAGCAUCUAAGUGUGAAACCCACCUCAAGAUGAGAUUUCCCAUAACAUUAAGUUAGUAAGAGCCCUGAGAGAAGAUCAGGUAGAUAGGUUGGAAGUGGAAGUGUGGCGACACAUGUAGCGGACCAAUACUAAUCGCUCGAGGACUUAUCC